Molecule: ribosomal RNA, 497 nt
Filed under: uncultured bacterium
Lineage: Bacteria
Description: partial 16S ribosomal RNA
Rfam family: Bacterial small subunit ribosomal RNA
Source: RNAcentral
GAUGAACGCUGGCGGCGUGCCUAAUACAUGCAAGUCGAGCGAACAGACGAGGAGCUUGCUCCUCUGACGUUAGCGGCGGACGGGUGAGUAACACGUGGAUAACCUACCUAUAAGACUGGGAUAACUUCGGGAAACCGGAGCUAAUACCGGAUAAUAUAUUGAACCGCAUGGUUCAAUAGUGAAAGACGGUUUUGCUGUCACUUAUAGCUGGAUCCGCGCCGCAUUAGCUAGUUGGUAAGGUAACGGCUUACCAAGGCAACGAUGCGUAGCCGACCUGAGAGGGUGAUCGGCCACACUGGAGCUGAGACACGGUCCAGACUCCUACGGGAGGCAGCAGUAGGGAAUCUUCCGCAAUGGGCGAAAGCCUGACGGAGCAACGCCGCGUGAGUGAUGAAGGUCUUCGGAUCGUAAAACUCUGUUAUUAGGGAAGAACAAAUGUGUAAGUAACUAUGCACGUCUUGACGGUACCUAAUCAGAAAGCCACGGCUAACUACGUG